CAACCUGCCCACCACUUGGGGAUAACCUUGCGAAAGUAAGACUAGUACCCAAUGAUAUCUCUAGAAGACAUCUGAAAGAGAUUAAAGAUUUAUCGGUGAUGGAUGGGGAUGCGUCUGAUUAGCUUGUUGGCGGGGUAACGGCCCACCAAGGCGACGAUCAGUAGGGGUUCUGAGAGGAAGGUCCCCCACAUUGGAACUGAGACACGGUCCAAACUCCUACGGGAGGCAGCAGUGAGGAAUAUUGGUCAAUGGACGAGAGUCUGAACCAGCCAAGUAGCGUGCAGGAUGACGGCCCUAUGGGUUGUAAACUGCUUUUAUAAGGGAAUAAAGUGAGUCUCGUGAGACUUUUUGCAUGUACCUUAUGAAUAAGGACCGGCUAAUUCCGUGCCAGCAGCCGCGGUAAUACGGAAGGUCCGGGCGUUAUCCGGAUUUAUUGGGUUUAAAGGGAGCGUAGGCCGGAGAUUAAGCGUGUUGUGAAAUGUAGACGCUCAACGUCUGCACUGCAGCGCGAACUGGUUUCCUUGAGUACGCACAAAGUGGGCGGAAUUCGUGGUGUAGCGGUGAAAUGCUUAGAUAUCACGAAGAACUCCGAUUGCGAAGGCAGCUCACUGGAGCGCAACUGACGCUGAAGCUCGAAAGUGCGGGUAUCGAACAGGAUUAGAUACCCUGGUAGUCCGCACGGUAAACGAUGGAUGCCCGCUGUUGGUCUGAAUAGGUCAGCGGCCAAGCGAAAGCAUUAAGCAUCCCACCUGGGG
Molecule: ribosomal RNA, 755 nt
Filed under: uncultured bacterium
Lineage: Bacteria
Description: bacterial SSU rRNA
Rfam family: Bacterial small subunit ribosomal RNA
Source: RNAcentral